GUCAACGACCCCGGCCUGAAGGUCAGGGCUUGAGGUGCCGUACCGCGCACCGAUGGCCUCGCGUUGACCAGCCCGAGUCGAUCAUCGUGGAGGAGGUGCAUUCGAUUGACUACGUUUCUUGUGAGUGAGAAGACCCACCAAGCCGUGCUUCCUCAGCGGCUUGCUCUGGAAUCGGUGGGAGCAGACAACCCCGGGGGUGGGGACGAAACGGCUCACCGACUCCCGGCCAUGCCGGGCACUGGCAUGGAACAUGGGCGAGGGGAGAUCGGU
Non-coding RNA from Streptosporangium subroseum, 270 nucleotides. The record is from Rfam. NCBI's taxonomy places the organism in Bacteria, Bacillati, Actinomycetota, Actinomycetes, Streptosporangiales, Streptosporangiaceae.